UGACCCAUGGUGUAAUGGUAACACAGCGGAUUUUGAUUCCGUCAUUCUAGGUUCGAGUCCUAGUGGGUCAA
Molecule: transfer RNA, 71 nt
Filed under: Pirellulaceae bacterium
Lineage: Bacteria; Pseudomonadati; Planctomycetota; Planctomycetia; Pirellulales; Pirellulaceae
Description: tRNA-Gln
Rfam family: tRNA
About the family: Transfer RNA (tRNA) molecules are approximately 80 nucleotides in length. Their secondary structure includes four short double-helical elements and three loops (D, anti-codon, and T loops).
Source: RNAcentral